RNAcentral lists this ribosomal RNA (440 nucleotides) under uncultured bacterium. Its description in RNAcentral is "partial 16S ribosomal RNA". It matches the Rfam family "Bacterial small subunit ribosomal RNA", at positions 338 to 795 of the family's 1533-position model. The record is from RNAcentral.
CCUACGGGUGGCAGCAGUAAGGGAUAUUGGUCAAUGGGGGAAACCCUGAACCAGCAACGCCGCGUGAGGGAAGACGGUUUUCGGAUUGUAAACCUCUGUCCUCUGUGAAGAUGAUGACGGUAGCAGAGGAGGAAGCUCCGGCUAACUACAUGCCAGCAGCCGCAGUACUGCGUAGGGAGCGAGCGUUGUCCGGAUUUACUGGGUGUAAAGGGGGCGUAGGCGGCUUGGCAAGUCAGUAGUGAAAUCCAUGGGCUUAACCCAUGAACUGCUAUUGAAACUGGCGAGUUUGAGUGAAGUAGAGGUAGGCGGAAUUCGCGGUGUAGCGGUGAAAUGCGUAGAGAUCGCGAGGAACACCAGUUGCGAAGGCAGCCUACUGAGCUUUAACUGACGCUGAGGCACGAAAGCGUGGGUAGCAAACAGGAUUAGAUACCCGAGUAGUC